Molecule: ribosomal RNA, 254 nt
Filed under: uncultured bacterium
Lineage: Bacteria
Description: partial 16S ribosomal RNA
Rfam family: Bacterial small subunit ribosomal RNA
Source: RNAcentral
UACGUAGGGUGCAAGCGUUAAUCGGAAUUACUGGGCGUAAAGCGUGCGCAGGCGGUUUUGUAAGUUUGUCGUGAAAUCCCCCGGGCUCAACCUGGGAAUUGCGAUGGAGACUGCAAGGCUAGAAUCUGGCAGAGGGGGGUAGAAUUCCACGUGUAGCAGUGAAAUGCGUAGAGAUGUGGAGGAACACCGAUGGCGAAGGCAGCCCCCUGGGUCAAGAUUGACGCUCAUGCACGAAAGCGUGGGGAGCAAACAGG